This 71-nucleotide transfer RNA is filed under the name Phrynosoma platyrhinos (Desert horned lizard). Its description in RNAcentral is "tRNA-OTHER". The record is from RNAcentral. Lineage: Eukaryota; Metazoa; Chordata; Lepidosauria; Squamata; Phrynosomatidae.
GCCAGUGUGGCAUAGUGGUUUGAGUGUUGGACUGUGACUCUGGAGACUAGGGUUCGAUGCCCGCGUGGCCA